UGUAAUGUGGGAAGUCCCUUCGGGGACAGGAAGACAGGUGGUGCAUGGUUGUCGUCAGCUCGUGUCGUGAGAUGUUGGGUUAAGUCCCGCAACGAGCGCAACCCUUAUUGUUAGUUGCUACCAUUUAGUUGAGCACUCUAGCGAGACUGCCCGGGUUAACCGGGAGGAAGGUGGGGAUGACGUCAAAUCAUCAUGCCCCUUAUGUCUAGGGCUACACACGUGCUACAAUGGCCGGUACAACGAGAUGCAAUACCGUGAGGUGGAGCAAAACUAUAAAACCGGUCUCAGUUCGGAUUGUAGGCUGAAACUCGCCUACAUGAAGCUGGAGUUACUAGUAAUCGCGAAUCAGCAUGUCGCGGUGAAUACGUUCCCGGGCCUUGUACACACCGCCCGUCACACCAUGAGAGUUGGCAAUACCCAAAGUUGGUGAUCUAACCCGUAAGGGAGGAAGCCACCUAAGGUAGGGUCAGCGAUUGGGGUGAAGUCGUAACAAGGUAGCCGUAGGAGAAC
RNAcentral lists this ribosomal RNA (510 nucleotides) under uncultured bacterium. RNAcentral's name for it is "bacterial SSU rRNA". It matches the Rfam family "Bacterial small subunit ribosomal RNA", at positions 1001 to 1511 of the family's 1533-position model. The record is from RNAcentral.